This 312-nucleotide long non-coding RNA is filed under the name Mytilus galloprovincialis (Mediterranean mussel). The record is from RNAcentral. Lineage: Eukaryota; Metazoa; Mollusca; Bivalvia; Mytilida; Mytilidae.
AACUGGCCGGUUUCGUCAAUGUUUACCAUCCGGUUUGGUCAUAGAUUUCACAAUACAUAACCCGGUUUGGUCAAAUAAAAAAAAUCAUAAUCGCAUUGCAUUAUUAUUGAUAAUUUAACCUCAGUAUUAAAAAGGAGUUUUAAAAUUGUGACCGGGUCGUUGGGAAACAAGUUCUUUCACAGGACAACAGCUCAUUAUUUACUAGUAUAUGAUUAGUCUCAGAUUCAAAUAAAUAAUAAGCAAACACUAGAAUUCCUACUCUUAUAGAACACAAAAAAUUUUAAUUUUACUUUGCAUUCAAACAUUUUUAAC